GACGAACGCUGGCGGCGUGCUUAACACAUGCAAGUCGAACGGAAAGGCCCAGCUUGCUGGGUACUCGAGUGGCGAACGGGUGAGUAACACGUGGGUGAUCUGCCCUGGACUCUGGGAUAAGCCUGGGAAACUGGGUCUAAUACCGGAUAUGACCUUACAUCGCAUGGUGUUUGGUGGAAAGCUUUUGCGGUUCAGGAUGGGCCCGCGGCCUAUCAGCUUGUUGGUGGGGUAAUGGCCUACCAAGGCGACGACGGGUAGCCGACCUGAGAGGGUGAGCGGCCACACUGGGACUGAGACACGGCCCAGACUCCUACGGGAGGCAGCAGUGGGGAAUAUUGCACAAUGGGCGCAAGCCUGAUGCAGCGACGCCGCGUGAGGGAUGACGGCCUUCGGGUUGUAAACCUCUUUCACCAGGGACGAAGCGUGAGUGACGGUACCUGGAGAAGAAGCACCGGCCAACUACGUG
This 466-nucleotide ribosomal RNA is filed under the name uncultured bacterium. RNAcentral describes it as "partial 16S ribosomal RNA". It matches the Rfam family "Bacterial small subunit ribosomal RNA", at positions 28 to 507 of the family's 1533-position model. The record is from RNAcentral.